CCUACGGGUGGCAGCAGUGAGGAAUAUUGGUCAAUGGGCUAAAGCCUGAACCAGCCAAGUCGCGUGAAGGAAGACGGUCCUAUGGAUUGUAAACCUCUUUUGUCGGGGAGCAACGAGGCCACGUGUGACCGCUGUGAGAGUACCCGAAGAAAAAGCAUCGGCUAACUCCGUGCCAGCAGCCGCGGUAAUACGGAAGGUGCGGGCGUUAUCCGGAUUUAUUGGGUUUAAAGGGUGCGUAGGCCGAACAUCAAGUCUGCGGUGAAAUGUCGGGGCUCAACCCCGGUGAUGCAGCGCGAACUGGCGUGCGUGAGUGCGCGGAAAGCAGGCGGAAUUCGUGGUGUAGCGGUGAAAUGCUUAGAUAUGACGAAGAACCCCGAUUGCGAAGGCAGCUUGCUGGAGCGGGACUGACGCUGAGGCACGAAAGCGCGGGGAUCGAACAGGAUUAGAUACCCGUGUAGUC
RNAcentral lists this ribosomal RNA (460 nucleotides) under uncultured bacterium. RNAcentral describes it as "partial 16S ribosomal RNA". It matches the Rfam family "Bacterial small subunit ribosomal RNA", at positions 338 to 795 of the family's 1533-position model. The record is from RNAcentral.